GCGGCAGCAGCUCAAAUUUGAAAUCUGGCCCCUCCGGGCCCGAGUUGUAAUUUGCAGAGGAUGCUUCGGCGUCGGCCCCGGCCUAAGUUCCUUGGAACAGGACGUCGCAGAGGGUGAGAAUCCCGUACGCGGCCGGUGUCCCCCGCCAUGUGAAGCUCCUUCGACGAGUCGAGUUGUUUGGGAAUGCAGCUCUAAAUGGGAGGUAAAUUUCUUCUAAAGCUAAAUACCGGCCAGAGACCGAUAGCGCACAAGUAGAGUGAUCGAAAGAUGAAAAGCACUUUGGAAAGAGAGUUAAAAAGUACGUGAAAUUGUUGAAAGGGAAGCGCUUGCAACCAGACCUGCCCGCGGUCGCUCAUCCAGGCUCCUGCCUGGUGCACUCUUCCGCGGUCAGGCCAGCAUCGGUUCGGGCGGUCGGACAAAGGCGGCGGGAAUGUGGCUCCCCUCGGGGAGUGUUAUAGCCCGCCGCGCAAUGCGGCCAGCCGGGACCGAGGUCCGCGCUUCGGCUAGGAUGCUGGCGUAAUGGUCGCAAGCGGCCCGUCUUGAAACACGGACCAAGGAGUCUAACAUCUGUGCGAGUGUUUGGGUGUCAAGCCCGAGCGCGCAAUGAAAGUGAACGGAGGCGGGAACCCUCGGGUGCACCGUCGACCGAUCCUGAUGUCUUCGGAUGGAUUUGAGUAAGAGCAUAGCUGUUGGGACCCGAAAGAUGGUGAACUAUGCCUGAAUAGGGUGAAGCCAGAGGAAACUCUGGUGGAGGCUCGCAGCGGUUCUGACGUGCAAAUCGAUCGUCAAAU
RNAcentral lists this ribosomal RNA (791 nucleotides) under Psiloglonium colihuae. Its description in RNAcentral is "eukaryotic LSU rRNA". It matches the Rfam family "Eukaryotic large subunit ribosomal RNA", at positions 98 to 910 of the family's 3401-position model. Lineage: Eukaryota; Fungi; Ascomycota; Dothideomycetes; Hysteriales; Hysteriaceae. The record is from RNAcentral.